AUACAUGCAAGUCGAGGGGCAGCACGGGUAGCAAUAUCUGGUGGCGACCGGCGCACGGGUGCGUAACACGUAUACAAUCUACCCUUAACAGGGGGAUAGCCCUCCGAAAGGAGGAUUAAUACCCCAUAAUAAAUUGAAUGGCAUCAUUUGAUUUUGAAAGUUCCGACGGUUAAGGAUGAGUAUGCGUCUGAUUAGCUAGUUGGUGAGGUAAAGGCUCACCAAGGCAACGAUCAGUAGGGGAUCUGAGAGGACUACCCCCCACACUGGUACUGAGACACGGACCAGACUCCUACGGGAGGCAGCAGUAAGGAAUAUUGGUCAAUGGAGGCAACUCUGAACCAGCCAUGCCGCGUGCAGGAAGACGGCCCUAUGGGUUGUAAACUGCUUUUGUACGGGAGAAAACCCUUUCACGUGUGAGAGGUUGAUAGUACCGUAAGAAUAAGCAUCGGCUAACUUCGUGCCAGCAGCCGCGGUAAGACGAAGGAUGCAAGCGUUAUCCGGAUUCAUUGGGUUUAAAGGGAGCGUAGGUGGACUUGUAAGUCAGUGGUGAAAUCUCUCAGCUUAACUGAGAAACUGCCAUUGAUACUGCAGGUCUUGAGUACAGAUGAUGUGGGCGGAAUAUGACAUGUAGUGGUGAAAUACUUAGAUAUGUCAUAGAACACCGAUUGCGAAGGCAGCUCACAAAA
This 686-nucleotide ribosomal RNA is filed under the name uncultured Bacteroidota bacterium. Its description in RNAcentral is "bacterial SSU rRNA". It matches the Rfam family "Bacterial small subunit ribosomal RNA", at positions 51 to 733 of the family's 1533-position model. Lineage: Bacteria; Pseudomonadati; Bacteroidota. The record is from RNAcentral.